RNAcentral lists this long non-coding RNA (575 nucleotides) under Rhinopithecus bieti (black snub-nosed monkey). RNAcentral's name for it is "lncRNA (ENSRBIG00000045719.1)". Lineage: Eukaryota; Metazoa; Chordata; Mammalia; Primates; Cercopithecidae. The record is from RNAcentral.
GGAUUUUAGAAAUUACACAAUUGUAGACUUUUUGAAAUCAAUGAGCUCAUAUGCCUCAUUUUACAGUUAAGAAGUUAAAUGACUUGCCUCAGGCACACAUCUGGUGAGAAACCGAGCGCGGCUUGCUCUUGAUACCCAGGCUGGAUACCAGGCUGAUCGUGCACCUUCGAGUCUUCCUUCCGCAGACUCUUUUGACUAAUCCAGCAACCGAGCAUCUGGCAAGGCUGAUGUAGAGAGAGAUCUACUUAGAACAAAGGUCAUGAAGGGCCAGAUUCAGUUCAUCACCUUUUUUUGGGUUUACUGGGUUUCUGGAAAAGGAGCCAAGACUUCUGAAGGGAGGAGAAGGGAAGAACAAAACAGCUCCAGGAAAGAAUGUUCCUCUCUCAUUUCUUUUUUUUUUCUCUCCAUCAUGCAAAAAGGUAAGAACAAUACCAGCCAGCCAAAAGCUCAUUCAUGCACUUGACCUUCCAAAAGAAAAUUAAUUUCCAACUUCACACCUACCGGCUGUGCUGCUCAGCUUUGUCAAAAUGCUGGCAUCAUUAGAGAGGAGAUGACAUGGCUUGAGGGGACAAAGA